GUGGCCUUAGCUCAGUUGGUAGAGCACCUGACUGUUAAUCAGGUUGUCGCUGGUUCGAGUCCAGUAGGCUACG
RNAcentral lists this transfer RNA (73 nucleotides) under Lactiplantibacillus plantarum. RNAcentral's name for it is "Lactobacillus plantarum tRNA-Asn". It matches the Rfam family "tRNA". Rfam says of the family: Transfer RNA (tRNA) molecules are approximately 80 nucleotides in length. Their secondary structure includes four short double-helical elements and three loops (D, anti-codon, and T loops). Further hydrogen bonds mediate the characteristic L-shaped molecular structure. tRNAs have two regions of fundamental functional importance: the anti-codon, which is responsible for specific mRNA codon recognition, and the 3' end, to which the tRNAs corresponding amino acid is attached (by aminoacyl-tRNA synthetases). tRNAs cope with the degeneracy of the genetic code in two manners: having more than one tRNA (with a specific anti-codon) for a particular amino acid; and 'wobble' base-pairing, i.e. permitting non-standard base-pairing at the 3rd anti-codon position. Lineage: Bacteria; Bacillati; Bacillota; Bacilli; Lactobacillales; Lactobacillaceae. The record is from RNAcentral.